GCGUCCGUAGCUCAGCUGGAUAGAGCGCCGGACUUCGAAUCCGUAGGUCGCACGUUCGAAUCGUGCCGGACGCG
RNAcentral lists this transfer RNA (74 nucleotides) under Treponema sp. Its description in RNAcentral is "tRNA-Arg". It matches the Rfam family "tRNA". Rfam says of the family: Transfer RNA (tRNA) molecules are approximately 80 nucleotides in length. Their secondary structure includes four short double-helical elements and three loops (D, anti-codon, and T loops). The record is from RNAcentral. RNAcentral also lists the same sequence under 2 other names. Lineage: Bacteria; Pseudomonadati; Spirochaetota; Spirochaetia; Treponematales; Treponemataceae.